Long non-coding RNA from Oncorhynchus keta (chum salmon), 666 nucleotides. RefSeq lists it as uncharacterized. The record is from RefSeq and is a predicted model, not a curated record. The transcript is spliced from 3 exons. Lineage: Eukaryota; Metazoa; Chordata; Actinopteri; Salmoniformes; Salmonidae.
AGUGAGCGACACACACACACACACACACACACACACACACACACACACACACACACACACACACACACACACACACACACACACACACACACACACACACACACACACACACACACACACACACACACACACACACACACACACACAGAGAGAGAGAUAGAGAGAAUUUGAUUUUAUACCUUUAAUACCAGUGUAAACUAAAAAAAACUCAGAAAUGUAUACAAUGUUAAACUUGAGAUCAAAAUUCAACUGUCAAUGUAUGUAUUGGCAUGUCUGUCUGUCUCCCUACCUCUGACAGUGAGGUGAGAGUGUGUCUGUCUCCCUACCUCUGACAGUGAGGUGAGAGUGUGUCUGUCUCCCUACCUCUGACAGUGAGGUGAGAGUGUGUCUGUCUCCCUACCUCUGACAGUGAGGUGAGAGUGUGUCUGUCUCCCUACCUCUGACAGUGAGGUGAGAGUGUGUCUGUCUCCCUACCUCUGACAGUGAGGUGAGAGUGUGUCUGUCUCCCUACCUCUGACAGUGAGGUGAGAGUGUGUCUGUCUCCCUACCUCUGACAGUGAGGUGAGAGUGUGUCUGUCUCCCUACCUCUGACAGUGAGGUGAGAGUGUGUCUGUCUCCCUACCUCUGACAGUGAGGUGAGAGUGUGUGUGUUUCCCUACCUCUGAC